UACAGAGGAUGCAAGCGUUAUCCGGAAUGAUUGGGCGUAAAGCGUCUGUAGGUGGCUUUUUAAGUCCGCCGUCAAAUCCCAGGGCUCAACUCUGGACAGGCGGUGGAAACUACCAAGCUGGAGUACGGUAGGGGCAGAGGGAAUUUCCGGUGGAGCGGUGAAAUGCGUAGAGAUCCGGAAGAACACCGGUGGCGAAGGCGGUUAGCUGGGCAGUUGCUGACACUGAGGCGCGACAGCGUGGGGAGCAAACAGG
RNAcentral lists this ribosomal RNA (253 nucleotides) under uncultured bacterium. RNAcentral describes it as "partial 16S ribosomal RNA". It matches the Rfam family "Bacterial small subunit ribosomal RNA", at positions 524 to 776 of the family's 1533-position model. The record is from RNAcentral.